Molecule: ribosomal RNA, 490 nt
Filed under: uncultured bacterium
Lineage: Bacteria
Description: partial 16S ribosomal RNA
Rfam family: Bacterial small subunit ribosomal RNA
Source: RNAcentral
UGAACGCUGGCGGUAGGCCUAACACAUGCAAGUCGAACGGCAGCACAGUAAGAGCUUGCUCUUACGGGUGGCGAGUGGCGGACGGGUGAGGAAUACAUCGGAAUCUACUUUUUCGUGGGGGAUAACGUAGGGAAACUUACGCUAAUACCGCAUACGACCUACGGGUGAAAGCAGGGGAUCUUCGGACCUUGCGCGAUUGAAUGAGCCGAUGUCGGAUUAGCUAGUUGGCGGGGUAAAGGCCCACCAAGGUGACGAUCCGUAGCUGGUCUGAGAGGAUGAUCAGCCACACUGGAACUGAGACACGGUCCAGACUCCUACGGGAGGCAGCAGUGGGGAAUAUUGGACAAUGGGCGCAAGCCUGAUCCAGCCAUACCGCGUGGGUGAAGAAGGCCUUCGGGUUGUAAAGCCCUUUUGUCGGGAAAGAAAAGCAGCAGGUUAAUACCCCGCUGUUCUGACGGUACCCAAAGAAUAAGCACCGGCUAACUUCGUG